Molecule: non-coding RNA, 219 nt
Organism: Pelobates cultripes (western spadefoot toad)
Lineage: Eukaryota; Metazoa; Chordata; Amphibia; Anura; Pelobatidae
Source: the annotation of a GenBank genome assembly
GGUAGAUACAAUUUUCUGUGCAAAAAUCUCAAUAUCUGCAAUAAUACACUACAUGCAACGCAAGCAAUGACCUUCUCAUUUUUAUUAUUAAUAUUUGGUAUUGUAGCAUUGAUAUCUAUCUAUGUAUGUAUCUAUCUAUCUAUCUAUCUAUCUAUCUAAUACAGCAGAGAGAAUAAUGAACAUGUAUUGAUACAAAAGGAACAGAAGACCCUGUCAGGG